UUAAAAUGAAUUGACGGGGCCGCACAAGCAGUGAGUAUGUGGUUUAAUUCGAAAGCGACGCGAAGAGCCUUACCAGGGCUUGACAUCCCUUGAAGCAGCUAGAGAUAGCUGUGUCCUUUCGGGACAAGGAGACAGGUGGUGCAUGGUUGUCGUCAGCUCGUGUCGUGAGAUGUUGGGUUAAGUCCCGCAACGAGCGCAACCCCUACGGUUAGUUGCUAACGGGUAAGGCCGAGCACUUUAGCCGAACUGCCGUUGACAAAACGGAGGAAGGCGGGGAUGACGUCAAAUCAUCAUGCCCUUUAUGUCCUGGGCUACACACGUGCUACAAUGGCCUGUACAAAGGGCAGCAAAGGGGCGACCCGGAGCAAAUCCCAAAAAACAGGUCUCAGUUCGGAUUGCAGGCUGCAACUCGCCUGCAUGAAGGCGGAAUCGCUAGUAAUCGCAGGUCAGCAUACUGCGGUGAAUACGUUCCCGGGCCUU
This 480-nucleotide ribosomal RNA is filed under the name uncultured Desulfotomaculum sp. RNAcentral describes it as "bacterial SSU rRNA". It matches the Rfam family "Bacterial small subunit ribosomal RNA", at positions 903 to 1382 of the family's 1533-position model. Lineage: Bacteria; Bacillati; Bacillota; Clostridia; Eubacteriales; Desulfotomaculaceae. The record is from RNAcentral.